GAUGAACGCUAGCGACAGGCUUAACACAUGCAAGUCGAGGGGCAGCGAGGGCGUAGCAAUACGCCUGUCGGCGACCGGCGCACUGGUGAGUAACACGUAUGCGACCUGCCCCCUACAGGGGUAUAACCCGUAGAAAUGCGGACUAAUCCCCCCAUAGUCCUGGGUGCUGCAUGGCAUUCAGGGGAAAGGGUUUCCGGUAGGGGAUGGGCAUGCGGCGCAUUAGCUAGUUGGCGGGGCAACGGCCCACCAAGGCGACGAUGCGUAGGGGUUCUGAGAGGAAGGUCCCCCACACUGGUACUGAGACACGGACCAGACUCCUACGGGAGGCAGCAGUGAGGAAUAUUGGUCAAUGGGCGCAGGCCUGAACCAGCCAAGUCGCGUGAGGGAGGACGGUCCUACGGAUUGUAAACCUCUUUUGUCGGGGAGUAACGUGCGGGACGGGUCCCGUAUUGAGAGUACCCGAAGAAAAAGCAUCGGCUAACUCCGUG
RNAcentral lists this ribosomal RNA (488 nucleotides) under uncultured bacterium. Its description in RNAcentral is "bacterial SSU rRNA". It matches the Rfam family "Bacterial small subunit ribosomal RNA", at positions 28 to 507 of the family's 1533-position model. The record is from RNAcentral.